ACCUAUAGGCCAAGAAAGGUUAUUAAGGCUUAGGUCAAUAUUGGCAGGUGCCUCCUUCAGAAAAAUUAUCAGGGCAGCUCAUCAGGAAAAAAAAUAAUCUUGCUUAACUCCUUAUAUAAAUAAAUAUUUGAUUCAGAAUAUAUUUAGAACAUGAUGUCUUACAAUUUCCACAUCACGUUUGUAAUACUAUAAUUUAUAAAAGGAAAUACAUAUUUGGUUUUUAUCCCUUUUCCUGGCAAAAAAGCUGCAAAAAACCCUUGGAAUUUCCUAAGUGAAAUAAAGGCACCUUUUGUUAAGUUAAUGAGGUGACUCAGAAAGUCCCUAGGUAACCCAGAGAUAGGGCUGGCUGCCAAGGGGACCCAAAUUGGUGAUAAGAGGGUUGGAGAUUUCAGUCCUACCAGUCCUCAGGAACCUCUGAUCCAUAAAUUACACCACAGAGUUCCACCUAGAUGCAAGUUGGCCAAAUGUUUGUACCUCGUGACAGACUGUCUUUCAUCGAGAAGGUUUGAUUUCCUGGGCAAGAUGCUUCAGAUCCAGGAAUGAUGAUUCAUGAAUUCUGGAGACUGGCAUUAUUAAACAACAGGAUUUUAGAAAAUAUUACAUUAAAAAAUCAAAAUAUCCAACUAAGUAAAGAUGAAUGGCUUGUUCAGCAUUUUAGACAAAGGAAGUAAUAUUCCCUAAUGUUAUAUGUAAAUUGCUCUUUUCAUAAAUUUAGUACUCAAGUAAGAUGUUCUUGAAAAACAAGUAAAAAACAUACAAUCAUUAUUCCUUGUAUAAAUGAUUUUUUAAAGCACAUUAUAUUUUUCCAUAAUAGGGAUGGUUGUUUUCUUUCAGGUUCUUCCUAAAAUUUUAAAUUAAGAUUUAUUUACUUUUAUUUUGUUUUAUUUUUGCAGGAAAUAGAACCUGGGAAAAGGUGCAUACUGUAAACUAACACAUUUGCUACAAUCAUUUGUGUCAUUCAGAAAUAAAAAUAGCAUAUUAUUUUUCAGAUAUUUUCCACGCUAGAUGUUUAAUUAGAGCACCGAUGGCAGUAAGCCAUAUUUGUUUUUCUUAUUCUGAUAUAGGACUUAGUAAGUGUAAUAAACUAGAAAUAGAAACUAUUGAUGAACAAUUUUUUAAUUUGUAUCUUAACAUUUUACAUUUUUAAAAAUGUAUGCAUUUUUUUAUUUGUAUCCUUUCUGAAAUGAUACAGAUUGGUACAAAUUAUAUACUUCUGACUUAAUAUUUGGUUUGAAUUCAGAAAAGUGAUAACAACAAUCUAGAUAAGCCUAGAAGCAUGAUAGAUCUCACAUCAAGACUUGAAGACAAACAACUCCAAAUUAAAAUGGCAUCAUUAUGAUUUCAUUUCAGUCAGACUGCUCUUAGAGGUUUCCUAUAAGAACUAUAUUUUUCUGGCACGCUUUUUGUCUUUUUCCCAAAACUUUUCAUU
This is a long non-coding RNA of Canis lupus familiaris (dog), 1429 nucleotides long. RefSeq lists it as uncharacterized. The transcript has 3 exons. The record is from RefSeq and is a predicted model, not a curated record. NCBI's taxonomy places the organism in Eukaryota, Metazoa, Chordata, Mammalia, Carnivora, Canidae.